RNAcentral lists this ribosomal RNA (253 nucleotides) under uncultured bacterium. RNAcentral describes it as "partial 16S ribosomal RNA". It matches the Rfam family "Bacterial small subunit ribosomal RNA", at positions 524 to 776 of the family's 1533-position model. The record is from RNAcentral.
UACGGAGGGAGCUAGCGUUGUUCGGAAUUACUGGGCGUAAAGCGCACGUAGGCGGCUUUGUAAGUGAGAGGUGAAAGCCCGGGGCUCAACUCCGGAACUGCCUUUAAGACUGCAUCGCUUGAAUCCAGGAGAGGUGAGUGGAAUUCCGAGUGUAGAGGUGAAAUUCGUAGAUAUUCGCAAGAACACCAGUGGCGAAGGCGGCUCACUGGCCCGGUACUGACGCUGAGGUGCGAAAGCGUGGGGAGCAAACAGG